This 253-nucleotide ribosomal RNA is filed under the name uncultured bacterium. RNAcentral's name for it is "partial 16S ribosomal RNA". It matches the Rfam family "Bacterial small subunit ribosomal RNA", at positions 524 to 776 of the family's 1533-position model. The record is from RNAcentral.
UACGUAGGGGGCAAGCGUUGUCCGGAUUUAUUGGGCGUAAAGAGCGUGUAGGCGGUUUGGUAGGUCCGCUGUGAAACCUCGAGGCUCAACCUCGAGACGCCGGUGGAAACCAUCAGACUAGAGUCCGGAAGAGGAGAGUGGAAUUCCUGGUGUAGCGGUGAAAUGCGCAGAUAUCAGGAGGAACACCAAUGGCGAAGGCAGCUCGCUGGGACGUGACUGACGCUGAGACGCGAAAGCGUGGGGAGCAAACAGG